GGCCAUCGCUUUAAACGCCACACACGCAUCGGCACCGCCUUCGGGGUGCCCCGCCCUUCAGUGAACCGGGCGGGGUCGAAGCCGGGGAUGCGUGGAGGUCCCAAC
This 105-nucleotide small RNA is filed under the name Luteibacter sp. Sphag1AF. Its description in RNAcentral is "t44 RNA". It matches the Rfam family "t44 RNA". From Rfam's summary of the family: This family consists of a number of bacterial RNA genes of between 135 and 170 bases in length. The t44 gene is found between the map and rpsB genes in all species in the full alignment apart from Shigella flexneri. The function of this RNA is unknown. Lineage: Bacteria; Pseudomonadati; Pseudomonadota; Gammaproteobacteria; Lysobacterales; Rhodanobacteraceae. The record is from Rfam by way of RNAcentral.